GACGAACGCUGGCGGCGUGCUUAACACAUGCAAGUCGAGCGGUAAGGCCUUUCGGGGUACACGAGCGGCGAACGGGUGAGUAACACGUGGGUGAUCUGCCCUGCACUUCGGGAUAAGCCUGGGAAACUGGGUCUAAUACCGGAUAUGACCUCCUAUCGCAUGGUGGGUGGUGGAAAGAUUUAUCGGUGCAGGAUGGGCCCGCGGCCUAUCAGCUUGUUGGUGGGGUAAUGGCCUACCAAGGCGACGACGGGUAGCCGACCUGAGAGGGUGACCGGCCACACUGGGACUGAGACACGGCUCAGACUCCUACGGGAGGCAGCAGUGGGGAAUAUUGCACAAUGGGCGAAAGCCUGAUGCAGCGACGCCGCGUGAGGGAUGACGGCCUUCGGGUUGUAAACCUCUUUCAGCAGGGACGAAGCGCAAGUGACGGUACCUGCAGAAGAAGCACCGGCUAACUACGUG
Molecule: ribosomal RNA, 462 nt
Filed under: uncultured bacterium
Lineage: Bacteria
Description: partial 16S ribosomal RNA
Rfam family: Bacterial small subunit ribosomal RNA
Source: RNAcentral